RNAcentral lists this ribosomal RNA (387 nucleotides) under uncultured euryarchaeote. RNAcentral describes it as "bacterial SSU rRNA". It matches the Rfam family "Archaeal small subunit ribosomal RNA", at positions 339 to 727 of the family's 1478-position model. The record is from RNAcentral. Lineage: Archaea; Methanobacteriati; Methanobacteriota.
GCGCGGAAACUCUACAAUGCACGAAAGUGUGAUAGGGGAACCCUAAGUGCCUAUGUUUUACAUAGGCUUUUGCCAAGAGUAAAUAUCUUGGCGAAUAAGUGGUGGGUAAGACUGGUGCCAGCAGCCGCGGUAACCCCAGCGCCACAAGUGGCAGCCACAAUUAUUGGGCCUAAAGCGUCCGUAGCCGGUUAGGUAAAUCCUUUGUGAAAUCAUCGUGCUCAACGCGAUGGCGUGCAGGGGACACUGCCUGACUUGGGACCGGGAGGAGUCGGGGGUAUUCCAGGGGUAGCGGUAAAAUGUUAUAAUCCUUGGAGGACCACCUGUGGCGAAGGCGCCCGACUAGAACGGAUUCGACGGUGAGGGACGAAAGCCAGGGGAGCGAACCGG